This 253-nucleotide ribosomal RNA is filed under the name uncultured bacterium. RNAcentral's name for it is "partial 16S ribosomal RNA". It matches the Rfam family "Bacterial small subunit ribosomal RNA", at positions 524 to 776 of the family's 1533-position model. The record is from RNAcentral.
UACGAAGGGGGCUAGCGUUGUUCGGCAUUACUGGGCGUAAAGCGCGCGCAGGCGGUCUUCCAAGUCAGUGGUGAAAGCCCGGAGCUCAACUCCGGAACUGCCAUUGAAACUGUGAGACUUGAGUAUGAGAGAGGUGAGUGGAACUCCCAGUGUAGAGGUGAAAGUCGUAGAUAGUGGGAAGAACACCGGUGGCGAAGGCGGCUCACGGGCUCAUUACUGACGCUCAGGCGCGACAGCGUGGGGAUCAAACAGG